GUAGUCAAUCUACCCUAUGGACGGGAAUAACCUCGGGAAACUGAGAAUAAUGCCCGAUAGAACAUUAUGCCUAGAAUGGUUUAUGUUUCAAAUGAUUUAUCGCCAUAGGAUGGGACUGCGGCCUAUCAGUUUGUUGGUGAGGUAAUGGCCCACCAAGACUAUUACAGGUACGGGCUCUGAGAGGAGUAGCCCGGAGAUGGGUACUGAGACACGGACCCAGGCCCUAUGGGGCGCAGCAGGCGAGAAAACUUUGCAAUGUGCGAAAGCACGACAAGGUUAAUCCGAGUGGUUUCUGCUAAAGAAACCUUUUGUCAGUCCUAGAAACACUAACGAAUAAGGGGUGGGCAAGUUCUGGUGUCAGCCGCCGCGGUAAAACCAGCACCUCAAGUGGUCAGGAUGAUUAUUGGGCCUAAAGCAUCCGUAGCCCGUUUUGUAAGUUUUCGGUUAAAUCCAUGCGCUUAACGUAUGGGCUGCCGGGAAUACUGCAUAACUAGGAAGUGGGAGAGGUAGACGGUACUCGGUAGGAAGGGGUAAAAUCCUUUGAUCUAUUGAUGACCACCUGUGGCGAAGGCGGUCUACCAGAACACGUUCGACGGUGAGGGAUGGAAGCUGGGGGAGCAAACCGGAUUAGAUACCCGGGUAGUCCCAGCUGUAAACUAUGCAAACUCAGUGAUGCAUUGGCUUAUGGCCAAUGCAGUGCUGCAGGGAAGCCGUUAAGUUUGCCGCCUGGGAAGUACGUACGCAAGUAUGAAACUUA
Molecule: ribosomal RNA, 757 nt
Filed under: uncultured crenarchaeote
Lineage: Archaea; Thermoproteati; Thermoproteota
Description: bacterial SSU rRNA
Rfam family: Archaeal small subunit ribosomal RNA
Source: RNAcentral